UACGGAGGGUGCGAGCGUUGUUCGGAAUCACUGGGCGUAAAGGGCGCGUAGGCGGCUGUUCAAGUCGGGGGUGAAAGCCUGUGGCUCAACCACAGAAUUGCCUUCGAUACUGGACGGCUCGAGACCGGAAGAGGUCAGUGGAACUGCGAGUGUAGAGGUGAAAUUCGUAGAUAUUCGCAAGAACACCAGUGGCGAAGGCGGCUGACUGGUCCGGUACUGACGCUGAGGUGCGAAAGCGUGGGGAGCAAACAGG
This 253-nucleotide ribosomal RNA is filed under the name uncultured bacterium. RNAcentral's name for it is "partial 16S ribosomal RNA". It matches the Rfam family "Bacterial small subunit ribosomal RNA", at positions 524 to 776 of the family's 1533-position model. The record is from RNAcentral.